GAUGAACGCUGGCGGCGUGCCUAAUACAUGCAAGUCGAGCGAACAGAUAAGGAGCUUGCUCCUUUGACGUUAGCGGCGGACGGGUGAGUAACACGUGGGUAACCUACCUAUAAGACUGGAAUAACUCCGGGAAACCGGGGCUAAUGCCGGAUAACAUUUAGAACCGCAUGGUUCUAAAGUGAAAGAUGGUUUUGCUAUCACUUAUAGAUGGACCCGCGCCGUAUUAGCUAGUUGGUAAGGUAACGGCUUACCAAGGCAACGAUACGUAGCCGACCUGUGAGGCUGGUCGGCCACACGAGAACUGAGACACGGUCCAGACUCCUACGGGAGGCAGCAGUAGGGAAUCGGACGCAAUAGGCGAAAGCCUGACGGAGCAACGCCGCGUGAGUGAUGAAGGUCUUCGGAGCGUAAAACUCUGUUAUUAGUGAAGAACAAAUGUGUAAGUAGAUGUGGACGUAUUGACGGUACCUGAUCAGAAAGCCACGGCUAACUACGUG
RNAcentral lists this ribosomal RNA (497 nucleotides) under uncultured bacterium. Its description in RNAcentral is "partial 16S ribosomal RNA". It matches the Rfam family "Bacterial small subunit ribosomal RNA", at positions 28 to 507 of the family's 1533-position model. The record is from RNAcentral.